This 503-nucleotide ribosomal RNA is filed under the name uncultured bacterium. Its description in RNAcentral is "partial 16S ribosomal RNA". It matches the Rfam family "Bacterial small subunit ribosomal RNA", at positions 30 to 523 of the family's 1533-position model. The record is from RNAcentral.
AUUGAACGCUGGCGGCAGGCUUAACACAUGCAAGUCGAGCGGGGUGAUGGUGCUUGCACUAUCACUUAGCGGCGGACGGGUGAGUAAUGCUUAGGAAUCUGCCUAUUAGUGGGGGACAACAUCUCGAAAGGGAUGCUGAUACCGCAUACGUCCUACGGGAGAAAGCAGGGGAUCACUUGUGACCUUGCGCUAAUAGAUGAGCCUAAGUCGGAUUAGCUAGUUGGUGGGGUAAAGGCCUACCAAGGCGACGAUCUGUAGCGGGUCUGAGAGGAUGAUCCGCCACACUGGGACUGAGACACGGCCCAGACUCCGCCGGGAGGCAGCAGUGGGGAAUAUUGGACAAUGGGGGGAACCCUGAUCCAGCCAUGCCGCGUGUGUGAAGAAGGCCUUAUGGUUGUAAAGCACUUUAAGCGAGGAGGAGGCUCUUUUGGUUAAUACCCAAGAUGAGUGGACGUUACUCGCAGAAUAAGCACCGGCUAACUCUGUGCCAGCAGCCGCCGUAA